This 114-nucleotide small nuclear RNA is filed under the name Sorghum bicolor (sorghum). RNAcentral's name for it is "snRNA U5". It matches the Rfam family "U5 spliceosomal RNA". Rfam says of the family: U5 RNA is a component of both types of known spliceosome. The precise function of this molecule is unknown, though it is known that the 5' loop is required for splice site selection and p220 binding, and that both the 3' stem-loop and the Sm site are important for Sm protein binding and cap methylation. The record is from Rfam by way of RNAcentral. Lineage: Eukaryota; Viridiplantae; Streptophyta; Magnoliopsida; Poales; Poaceae.
UACUGCGUGGUGCGCACAAAGCGAACUAUUCUUUCGCCUUUUACUAAAGAAUACCGUGUGCACGCCAUAAUAAGGAGCAUACGCUAAUUUGGGUGCCUUUCUCUUUGAGAGGUG